AGCGACUAAGCGUACACGGUGGAUGCCCUGGCAGUCAGAGGCGAUGAAGGGCGUGCUAAUCUGCGAUAAGCGCCGGUAAGGUGAUAUGAACCGUUAUAACCGGCGAUACCCGAAUGGGGAAACCCAGUGUGACUCGUCACACUAUCAUUAACUGAAUCCAUAGGUUAAUGAGGCGAACCGGGGGAACUGAAACAUCUAAGUACCCCGAGGAAAAGAAAUCAACCGAGAUUCCCCCAGUAGCGGCGAGCGAACGGGGAGGAGCCCAGAGCCUGAAUCAGCAUGUGUGUUAGUGGAAGCGUCUGGAAAGGCGCGCGAUACAGGGUGACAGCCCCGUACACAAAAGCGCAUGUGCUGUGAGCUCGAUGAGUAGGGCGGGACACGUGGUAUCCUGUCUGAAUAUGGGGGGACCAUCCUCCAAGGCUAAAUACUCCUGACUGACCGAUAGUGAACCAGUACCGUGAGGGAAAGGCGAAAAGAACCCCGGCGAGGGGAGUGAAAAAGAACCUGAAACCGUGUACGUACAAGCAGUGGGAGCCCCACCACCAAAGCAUUUGCUGUACCGCGUUGACGGAGCGAAGCGACGUCAAACCGAUAAAACAGCAGUGUAAAGUGAGCCGCAGGGCGCUUUGCGCGACAGCGCAAAGGCAGGCGGUUUCGCGUAGCGAAAGCGAAUGCUUUGGGGUGGGGUGACUGCGUACCUUUUGUAUAAUGGGUCAGCGACUUAUAUUCUGUAGCAAGGUUAACCGAAUAGGGGAGCCGGAGGGAAACCGAGUCUUAAUUGGGCGUUAAGUUGCAGGGUAUAGACCCGAAACCCGGUGAUCUAGCCAUGGGCAGGUUGAAGGUUGGGUAACACUAACUGGAGGACCGAACCGACUAAUGUUGAAAAAUUAGCGGAUGACCUGUGGCUGGGGGUGAAAGGCCAAUCAAACCGGGAGAUAGCUGGUUCUCCCCGAAAGCUAUUUAGGUAGCGCCUCGUGAAUUCAUCUCCGGGGGUAGAGCACUGUUUCGGCUAGGGGGCCAUCCCGGCUUACCAACCCGAUGCAAACUGCGAAUACCGGAGAAUGUUAUCACGGGAGACACACGGCGGGUGCUAACGUCCGUCGUGAAGAGGGAAACAACCCAGACCGCCAGCUAAGGUCCCAAAGUCAUGGUUAAGUGGGAAACGAUGUGGGAAGGCCCAGACAGCCAGGAUGUUGGCUUAGAAGCAGCCAUCAUUUAAAGAAAGCGUAAUAGCUCACUGGUCGAGUCGGCCUGCGCGGAAGAUGUAACGGGGCUAAACCAUGCACCGAAGCUGCGGCAGCGACACUGUGUGUUGUUGGGUAGGGGAGCGUUCUGUAAGCCUGUGAAGGUGUGUCGUGAGGCAUGCUGGAGGUAUCAGAAGUGCGAAUGCUGACAUAAGUAACGAUAAAGCGGGUGAAAAGCCCGCUCGCCGGAAGACCAAGGGUUCCUGUCCAACGUUAAUCGGGGCAGGGUGAGUCGACCCCUAAGGCGAGGCCGAAAGGCGUAGUCGAUGGGAAACGGGUUAAUAUUCCCGUACUUGGUGUUACUGCGAAGGGGGGACGGAGAAGGCUAUGUUGGCCGGG
RNAcentral lists this ribosomal RNA (1583 nucleotides) under Salmonella enterica. RNAcentral describes it as "partial 23S ribosomal RNA". It matches the Rfam family "Bacterial large subunit ribosomal RNA", at positions 1 to 1495 of the family's 2925-position model. The record is from RNAcentral. Lineage: Bacteria; Pseudomonadati; Pseudomonadota; Gammaproteobacteria; Enterobacterales; Enterobacteriaceae.